RNAcentral lists this ribosomal RNA (253 nucleotides) under uncultured bacterium. Its description in RNAcentral is "partial 16S ribosomal RNA". It matches the Rfam family "Bacterial small subunit ribosomal RNA", at positions 524 to 776 of the family's 1533-position model. The record is from RNAcentral.
UACAGAGGUCUCGAGCGUUAAUCGGAGUCACUGGGCUUAAAGGGUGCGUAGGCGGACUCGCAAGUGCUUUGUGAAAUCCCACGGCUCAACCGUGGAAUUGCUUGGCAGACUGCGGGUCUUGAGGUUGGUAGGGGCCGCCGGAACUCUAGGUGGAGCGGUGAAAUGCGUAGAUAUCUAGAGGAACGCCAAAGGUGAAGACAGGCGGCUGGGCCAAUUCUGACGCUGAGGCACGAAAGCGUGGGGAGCGAACGGG